Non-coding RNA from Misgurnus anguillicaudatus (oriental weatherfish), 3134 nucleotides. NCBI's taxonomy places the organism in Eukaryota, Metazoa, Chordata, Actinopteri, Cypriniformes, Cobitidae. The record is from RefSeq and is a predicted model, not a curated record.
ACCCGCCUGUCGGUUCUUGCAGCGCCGCAUGAAGUUGAACAAGCUUAAUGAAUUGUCCCUUCCGGCUUUCCAUCCCAGAACUGUCCUGUUUCUAUAGAAACAGAGACGCGACUGCUCGGCCACAAUCCAACAACUAAAAGCCUCAAAUAGGUAUAAGUGAUGCAGUCUGAUGUGCAAUGUUUUGUUGAGCGGUUCACUGUAAUUUGCAACAAGUCACUGUCCCACGUGCAGCUGGCCUGCUGCUCUUCUCAUUGUGCUGUACCAUGGCUGGACAAGAAUGUAAGGGUCUACACCACCAACAACCUGAAGCAUCCCUUGGAACUCACUGGUCACUAUGGUGAAGUCUCUGCUAUGGUGUUUGGAACGAUGAAAGAUCGUCUCAUUCUCUGUAGUGCUUCAGAAGAUUAUGUGAUUCUCUGGGACAUUGAUCAAUGCUACAGACAAGUCAGAGAGGGUGCAAUUGCCUCAGGCAGAGUGGUUGGCACAUUGCUAGGAAGAGUUGGGCAUUUGUCCCUGUGUCCACAGACUACAAAAAUAGCAGCAUGUUCGGGCUCUAAAGUGUUUGUUUUGAAUGCAGAGAGAGAGGAGGUGCUCGCUGUGUUGAAGGCUCAUCUUGGUCCUGUGACCGCCUCAGAGUUCUGUCCAUGGGACUUAAAUCUUCUCAUCUCAGUCUCAGAAGAUCGAACAUUUAAGGUAUGGGAUGUAAUGAAGGGCGAAAUACUCUUUCAGUCUGCAGUACUAUCAGCAUCUCCACUGCUUAGUCUGUUCUUCAUGGAGCAAAACAGACAGCUCAUCACAGGGUCUGGUGAUGGACAGCUUUGGUGUUACACUCUCCCUGUGGAUCACAAAUGUCGCUUGGCGACAAAACUGGACCUUCAAAAACUCGAACAGAAGCAUCAGAAAAAACUCAGAAAUAUCAACGCAGUUCCAAAUGGAACAUACGGUAUAACUCAAAAUGAUGUGAGAGGAACAGUGGAGACAGUAAAGCCAGUUCUGAGAAUCUGGGCUCAGAGACCAAUGUGUGGCCACGCUAGCAUACAGCAGAGAGGAAGUUAUGUAUGGAUUGGAAGUUCUGAUGGGCUGUAUAUGCUUGACCUGGAUACGUCAGAGCUCCUCAUUACUCUUCCAUUCAAAGGUGACCUGAGUAUCUCAAUGGCAGGGUCGUGGGCCAUCUCCCAUGGACAUGGUGACAAUAUGUUUUGUUUGGUGACCUCUCUAUUUGAGCCUUCAGUUGUCCUGUUGGAGGUCAAUAGUGCUGGACUAGAUGAGCUCUGCUUCAGUCUGGUGGAAGAGCAACUUUCAGUGGUUCCCAGCUCCCCUCUGAUGCCUGCAUCUCCUCUAAAUGCUGAGCAGACGAAACAAGGCCCAAAACCUCAGGGAAAAACAGGUGUGAGCUGUCAGAAGAACGUGAAGGAUCAGGCACUGGUUUUUCACACGCAAGUGAAAUCAUCAGGAUACAGUACAGCUCCUCAUAGGACAAUGUUUAAACCACAGACCAACGUAAAGAAGAAAAGUAGCACUUCCACCAAAACUAAAACGAAAAAGAAAAGCCUCUUAAGUGAGUAUCCAUCACAAUCUUCAGCCCCAAGUAUAUGUACAACUCACCUGGCUGUUUCCACAACCCCAACAACAGUCAACUCUCUACAGUACUCGGGGGAUGGAAAGCAGAUUUUGUGUGGUCUUGGAGACAGUUCUGUUUUGUUGUACGAGUCUUCACUUACCAAAGAUCCAGCUGUCUACACAGGGCACAGUAAGAGCGUUAACUGUGUGAGUUGGAGUCAUAGUAAGCAGUGGUUUUUAAGUUCUUCUGAGGACACCGCCCUGUGCAUCUGGACUGAAAGCGUUGCCGAACCUGUUCUGACCAUGGGAUGUGACCAGUUUGCAAAGUCCAUCAGAAGUGCUCAGUUUUACUAUCUUGAUAAGUUUUUACUGCUGGCAUCGGGAUCAAAUAUACUCCUGUACCUGUACCAUCUGGACACCACCAGAGAUGACAUUAAAAGGUAUAAGCAAAGAAGCAAGUCCAAGCUGACAGGAACAUUUUGUAUGACGACCGGAACAAACAUUACCUCAGUAUCAGCGAUCAAUGACUUCUAUUCCUAUAUUGUUUUGGCUGCUGGCGCUGACCGCACCAUACAGGUCUUUGAUAUGAACCACGGCCACGUUGCUACUCAGAUCCCGGACGCCCAUUCUCGACCUGUCCACCACCUCGCCCAAAACAAGGGGUCCCUGUUCUGUUCACAGACCCCAGAAUCAUACAAUCUUUUCCUUAGCAGCGCUAUAACAGAUGGUUUAAAAAUGUGGGACCUGCGCACCACAAGAUGUGUCCGUCGCUACGAGAGUCACGUCAAUCGUUGUCAUCAGUGCACUGCUGCCUUCUCACCCUGCGGUCGCUUCAUAGCCACUGGCUCCGAGGACCAAUCUGCUUAUAUAUAUGACACACGCAGCAGCGGCUUUCUCCAUAAGCUCCAGAGACACUCUGAUACAGUCUUAAAUGUCACUUUCAAUCCUGCUAAUCCAGAGGAAGCCCAUCUUCCUUUCACCGUAAACUAGAUCCACAGAAAAAGCUUCAACAGGAGGUUUCAAGCAGUGAAUCAAAGAUUCAGUGGGGAGAUCACAGCACGAGUCUUCACACCCCUCACCCUGCCCAGCGUAUCCUCACCUCGCUGUUGACUGGAACACUAAAUGGAAAACUGGCUUUGUUUCAUCCGACCGACUCCUUGCUUCUCCCUUAAGAGUGGGAUGCAACCCAGACGGCUUAGUACUCAGUUUCUCAGGUCCAGCCCUAGUGCAGACUCAGCCUAAUUUAACAUCAGCGCUAUUACUGUACUGACAUGCCACCUCUGUGGGAACUACAUCAUGACCAGGAUCUCUGAUUUCAUCAUUACAGCCACCAGUGAAAACCUACAGAUCUGACAACAUGCUCACACCCUGAAUCGCCGAGCCAAAUACGCACCCACGCAGAAAAGGCUAUUUGAACUUCACAUGCUAUUGCAACAAGUUUGCAUGCUGACAAAGACAAUCUGUUAAUUUGCACCAAACACAUGCAUAUAUAUUUUAUAAUUGUUUAUGUUUAUUGCACAUGAAUAUAUGCUACCACUUGUUUUUGUGUGACAAAUAAAGCCGCAUUGUAGUAA